RNAcentral lists this ribosomal RNA (252 nucleotides) under uncultured bacterium. RNAcentral describes it as "partial 16S ribosomal RNA". It matches the Rfam family "Bacterial small subunit ribosomal RNA", at positions 524 to 776 of the family's 1533-position model. The record is from RNAcentral.
UACGUAGGGGGCGAGCGUUGUCCGGAAUUAUUGGGCGUAAAGCGCGCGCAGGCGGUCGUUUAAGUCUGGUGGUUAAGCCCUGGGCUCAACCCGGGGAGGCAUUGGAAACUGGGCGACUGGAGUACAGGAGAGGAGAGCGGAAUUCCACGUGUAGCGGUGAAAUGCGUAGAGAUGUGGAGGAACACCAGUGGCGAAGGCGGCUCUCUGGCCUGAAACUGACGCUGAGGCGCGAAAGCGUGGGGAGCAAACAGG